UUCUUCAAUGAUAACUUGCUUGAAUAUCAUACUUUUGAACAAGUAUAAUCACUUCUUUGCCUACAUCAUUCUAAGUUAUUCAAGAAGUGGCCCUCUAGCUUAAUUGAUUGGUUUUGUCUCAACUCUUUUAUUUAGGAUUAUUGUGAUCUUCUGCAUUUGCAAAGCAUGUCUUGGAGUUAUGUUUUUAGUCCUUAAGUGAUUUAUAGUAGCCAUCAUAUAGCUUCAUUUGUUGAAGAGCUUGUUUUGUACUUAUGUUGCUUUCAUGAAUGUCUAUAGUUCUUCUUGUUCAGUUUUUAUUUCUGUAUUUCAUCAACAAUUAUCUGAAAUUUCUUAUUCCCAUUUUUGUUGCAUGUGA
This 355-nucleotide unclassified non-coding RNA is filed under the name Hevea brasiliensis (rubber tree). The record is from RNAcentral. Lineage: Eukaryota; Viridiplantae; Streptophyta; Magnoliopsida; Malpighiales; Euphorbiaceae.